This 429-nucleotide ribosomal RNA is filed under the name Verrucomicrobiota bacterium. RNAcentral describes it as "Verrucomicrobia bacterium partial 16S ribosomal RNA". It matches the Rfam family "Bacterial small subunit ribosomal RNA", at positions 355 to 776 of the family's 1533-position model. Lineage: Bacteria; Pseudomonadati; Verrucomicrobiota. The record is from RNAcentral.
UAGGGAAUCUUCCGCAAUGGACGAAAGUCUGACGGAGCAACGCCGCGUGAGUGAAGAAGGAUUUCGGUUCGUAAAACUCUGUUGUUAGGGAAGAAAAAAUGUAUAGUAACUAUAUACAAAAGAGACGGUACCUAACCAGAAAGCCACGGCUAACUACGUGCCAGCAGCCGCGGUAAUACGUAGGUGGCAAGCGUUGUCCGGAAUUAUUGGGCGUAAAGCGCGCGCAGGUGGUUUAGAAAGUCUGAUGUGAAAGCCCACGGCUCAACCGUGGAGGGUCAUUGGAAACUAAUAAACUUGAGUGCAGGAGAGAAAAGUGGAAUUCCUAGUUUAGCGGUGAAAUGCGUAGAGAUUAGGAGGAACACCGGUGGCGAAAGCGGCUUUUUGGCCUGCAACUGACACUGAGGCGCGAAAGCGUGGGGAGCAAACAGG